RNAcentral lists this unclassified non-coding RNA (289 nucleotides) under Ascomycota sp. RNAcentral describes it as "partial contains small subunit ribosomal RNA, internal transcribed spacer 1, and 5.8S ribosomal RNA". The stretch from base 1 to 47 matches the Rfam family "Eukaryotic small subunit ribosomal RNA", at positions 1785 to 1831 of the family's 1831-position model. Lineage: Eukaryota; Fungi; Ascomycota. The record is from RNAcentral.
AAAGUCGUAACAAGGUUUCCGUAGGUGAACCUGCGGAAGGAUCAUUACAGUGCCCGCGGUUUCGCGCCCCAAAAGGCGCGUUCCGCACCAGGCCACCCUUGUCUACCUUACCACUGUUGCUUCGGCGGGCCCGUCCCCCGAGAGUUCGCUCUCAGGGGGCGACCCGGGGCUGGCUUCACCGCCGCCCGGGCGAGCGUCCGCCAGAAGUCACCUUGAACUCUGUUGAUCAGUGAACGUCUGAGUUUAUGUUAAAUCAUUAAAACUUUCAACAACGGAUCUCUUGGUUCCA